AAAUAACUAUAAAAUCAAUUUAAAGUAACUAAAAACUUCAAUGAAAAUCAUAACGAAAUAUAUUUAAAUGAAAUACAAAGCUCUUUGAUUAACAACAUUUUCUUUACUUAUUAGUGCACGGUAAAUAUUUUCUUUAAUUUAAGGAGAUACAAUUACUAAUGUUUAUAAAAGCUAAGCCAACAAUAACAUUUCUCAAUUAACCGUAAAUGUACAAUUUGCCUUGCCACUCAAUUACUUUGAUUUUCUUUGGCAGCUUAUUAAAUGUCAUAUUUAGCAUGCCCAGGAGCAGGUCGAAAGUCUCUGGCACUCUGGAAAUGUUGAUGUUUGCACGGACGAAACACCUUGGAGCCGAGGAAAACCACCUGACCCCGGCCAGAUCAUCUAAUUGAAUGACAAUAUUAUGCCAAGGCCUAAUUCAAUUUGCGUUGCUUGGGAAUCGCUGCAGGUCCUACGUUGAUCCUGCUGCCUAAUUACAGGGUAAUCAGCCUUUCAGCCGUAGUGGCUACUGAAUGAUGAUUGAUUGAGGCGUGUGUAGGAGUGACAUCUGCCGAUGCGCGUGCCAAACAAAAGAAGGCGAGGAAAGUGCAAACAGCAGCUGAAAUGGAUAUGGAAAGCAGCAUCAGCGCAGCCAAGGAAAAAGCAAAUCGAAAACUGAUUUGGAGCGGAAGUUCGUUUGCACCUUUCUGCAGUUUCCUGUAUAUUUGCCGCCGCCGCCGCCGCCGCCGCCGCCGCCGUCGUUAGAACAAUAAAAACACACACAAGCUGCGGAAUCCAACAGCCACUUCCAUUGCAUAUCAACAAUCGCAAUCAGAAUCGUCGAGUGUUCUAUAAAGUACGAAUACCUUGACUUGUCUUGGCCUUUGACGCCGUCUUUUGUACCAAGAGAGUUGAGAUGGAUGGAUGGAUGAAGUCGUCGCCCGUUGGCUUUUGAAUGAGCUGCAAAUCAAAAGCUAUAUACGAUUUCACACAAGUAUGGAUUAAGGAUAUGCGUGAGCACGCAGAGAAAUAAUGCGAUACUUUUGAGU
Long non-coding RNA from Drosophila elegans, 1025 nucleotides. RefSeq lists it as uncharacterized. The transcript is spliced from 3 exons. NCBI's taxonomy places the organism in Eukaryota, Metazoa, Arthropoda, Insecta, Diptera, Drosophilidae. The record is from RefSeq and is a predicted model, not a curated record.